Molecule: ribosomal RNA, 1137 nt
Filed under: Erysipelotrichaceae bacterium CAG:64
Lineage: Bacteria; Bacillati; Bacillota; Erysipelotrichia; Erysipelotrichales; Erysipelotrichaceae
Description: bacterial LSU rRNA
Rfam family: Bacterial large subunit ribosomal RNA
Source: RNAcentral
AUAGCUGGUUCUCCCCGAAAUAGCUUUAGGGCUAGCGUCGAGGCAGAGUCGCAUGGAGGUAGAGCACUGAAUGUACGAUGGCCCCAUCCCGGGGUACUGAGUAUAAUCAAACUCCGAAUGCCAUGAAGACGUACUCGGCAGUCAGACUGUGGGUGAUAAGGUCCAUGGUCAAAAGGGAAACAGCCCAGACCGCCAGUUAAGGUCCCAAAAUGUAUGCUAAGUGGAAAAGGAUGUGGGGAUGCACAGACAACUAGGAGGUUGGCUCAGAAGCAGCCAUCCUUCAAAGAGUGCGUAACAGCUCACUAGUCGAGUGACCCUGCGCCGAAAAUGUACCGGGGCUAAGCAUACUACCGAAGCUGCGGAUUCAACUUUAGAGUUGAGUGGUAGGGGAGCGUUGCAUGCACGUAGAAGCCGUACCGUAAGGAGCGGUGGAGAGCAUGGAAGAGAGAAUGCCGGUGUGAGUAGCGAGAUGUAGGUGAGAAUCCUACACACCGAUAGCCCAAGGAUUCCAGGGGAAGGUUCGUCCGCCCUGGGUAAGUCGGGACCUAACGCGAGGCCGAAAGGCGUAGUGGAUGGAAAACAGGCAGAUAUUCCUGUACCCGCGAUGGAAAUGAAGGAAUGACGGAGAAGGCUAGUGUGAGCCACUGAAUGGAUUGUGGUCGAAGCAUAUAGCAGGCUGACAGUGAAAUGCGUCAGCGGGAUGUAAGAUGUGACAGGUAAGGGAACGUCCUUGGACAAGUACUGAAGCACAUGAUGCCAGCUUCCAAGAAAAGUUUCUAGUGAUGAUUCCAUAGCGGCCCGUACCAAAACCGACACAGGUGGGCAAGGAGAGAAUCCUGAGGUGAGCGAGAGAACUGUUGCCAAGGAACUCGGCAAAAUGACUCCGUAAGUUAGCGAUAAGGAGUGCUCUUGUAAAAGAGAGCCGCAGUGAAGAGGCCCAAGCGACUGUUUAACUAAAACACAGCUCUCUGCAAAGUCGCAAGACGAAGUAUAGGGGGUGACGCCUGCCCGGUGCUGGAAGGUUAAGAGGAUUUGUCAUCCGCAAGGAGAAGCAAUGAAUUGAAGCCCCAGUGAACGGCGGCCGUAACUAUAACGGUCCUAAGGUAGCGAAAUUCCUUGUCGGGUAAGUUCCGACCC